CCGAAUUCGUCGACACAGAGUUUGAUCCUGGCUCAGGACGAACGCUGGCGGCGUGCUUAACACAUGCAAGUCGAGGGGGCUACUUCGGUAGUCACCGGCGAACGGGUGCGUAACACGUGAGCGACCUGCCCCACCGGUGGGGAAUAGCCGGCCCAACGGCCGGGUAAUACCGCAUACGCUCUUUUUGGGGCAUCCCGAGAAGAGGAAAGCCCUGGGUAACCAGGGCACCGGGGGAGGGGCUCGCGGCCUAUCAGCUAGUUGGAGGGGUAACGGCCCACCAAGGCUAUGACGGGUAGCUGGUCUGAGAGGAUGGCCAGCCACAUUGGGACUGAGAUACGGCCCAGACUCCUACGGGAGGCAGCAGUGGGGAAUAUUGCGCAAUGGCCUAAGGGCUGACGCAGCGACGCCGCGUGUGGGAGGACGCCCCUAGGGGUGUAAACCACUGUUGCCCGGGACGAAUCCUGGAUUAGCUCCAGGUUGACGGUACCGGGUGAGGAAGCACCGGCUAACUCCGUGCCAGCAGCCGCGGUAAUACGGAGGGUGCGAGCGUUGUCCGGAAUCACUGGGCGUAAAGGGCGCGUAGGCGGCAGGCCAAGCGUGUGGUGAAAGUCCGGGGCUCAACCCCGGAUCGGCCGUGCGGACUGGUUUGCUGGAGCACUGUAGAGGCGAGUGGAAUUCCGGGUGUAGCGGUGGAAUGUGUAGAGAUCCGGAAGAACACCGGUGGCGAAGGCGGCUCGCUGGGCAGUGGCUGACGCUGAGGCGCGACAGCGUGGGGAGCAAACAGGAUUAGAUACCCUGGUAGUCCACGCCGUA
RNAcentral lists this ribosomal RNA (813 nucleotides) under uncultured bacterium. Its description in RNAcentral is "bacterial SSU rRNA". It matches the Rfam family "Bacterial small subunit ribosomal RNA", at positions 1 to 804 of the family's 1533-position model. The record is from RNAcentral.